This is a long non-coding RNA of Antechinus flavipes (yellow-footed antechinus), 8882 nucleotides long. RefSeq lists it as uncharacterized. The record is from RefSeq and is a predicted model, not a curated record. NCBI's taxonomy places the organism in Eukaryota, Metazoa, Chordata, Mammalia, Dasyuromorphia, Dasyuridae. The transcript has 2 exons.
AGUAGCAGAUAUGCUGAAGAGGCCAGUAAUAAACCAAAUGAGUCAAAUAGGAUGAUUUCCUUGAAUAAGAUCCUGGCUGAGGAAACAGAAUGUAGGGCACAGGUAGAAUGAUUUAUCCCAUAGCAAAGAAUAAAAAGCAUUAUUUCUUCCACUGAGACAAGAAAUAAGGAAGAGACAGCUGGGAAUGAAACUAUUAGCAUUUUCUGAAUGUUGCAGGGGAUAUGGGAAAACUGGGACACUGAUACAUUGUUAGUGGAAUUGUGAAAUACAUCCAGCCAUUCUGAAGAGUGAUUUGGAACUAUGCCCCAAAAGUUAUCAAACUGUGCAUACCCUUUGAUCCAGCAGUAUUAUUGGGCUUUUAUCCCAAAGAGAUCUUAAAGAAGGGAAAGGGACCUGUCUGUGCAAGAAUGCUUGUAGCAGCCCUUUUUGUGAUGGCUAGAAACUGAAAACUGAGUGGAUGCCCAUCAAUUGGAGAAUGGCUGAAUAAAUUGUGGUAUAUGAAUGUUAUGGUUCUGUAAGAAAUGACCAGCAGGAUGAUUUCAGAAAGGCCUGGAGAGACUUACAUUGUAGAACUGAUGUUGAGUGAAAUGAGCAGGACCAGGAGAUCAUUAUAUACUUCAAAAUGUGAAGUAUGUGAUAUGAUGAUCAAUUCUGAUGGAUGUAGCCCUCUUCAACAAUGAGAUAAACCAAAUCAGUUCCAACAGAGCAGUAAUGAAUAGAAUCAGCUACACCCAGCAAAAGAACUCUGGGAAAUGAGUGUGAACCAUUCUACAUAGCAUUUCCAAUCCCUGUUUUUGUCCACUUGCAUUUUUGAUUUUCUUCUCAGGUUAAUUUUAACUUAUUUCAAAGUCCGAUUCUUUUUGUGCAGCAAAAUAACUGUAUGGAUAUAUAUACAUAUAUUGUAUUUAACAUAUACUUUAACAUAUUUAAUAUGCAUAGGUCUACCUGCCAUCUGGGGGAGGGAGUGGGGGAGUGGAACAGAAGAUUUUGCAAGGGUCAAUGCUGAAAAAUUACCCAUGCAUAUAUCUUGUAAAUAAAAAGCUAUAAUAAUAAUAAAAAGAAACUAUUAGCAUUUCUCAGAAAAGUGAACUUCAGCUUGUAAGCAUUUUUACUUUGGGCUUUACUGGCUAGAUCUUAAGGAGGCCUUAAAGCAAAACCAAUCUGAUUCAAAUUGGUCAACAGGUCCUAGGCCAAGCCCAAUUUGGUCAUUGGGUCCUGACUAACUUAGAUUGAAUGUAAAUAGCAGUCAUUUCUGCUUUGGCCAGAGGUGCUGAAACUCUUCCCUUCCCAGAUUCAUUCAUUCAUUUAUUUAGAUUUUUUUUUUUGACUAGCUGAAAAAGGAGGUUUGAUUGAGGUAACUAAAACCAGUUGAAGACCUUAGCUUAAAAAGACCAAGCUCUCUUGUUGCAUCCAGGGCCAUCUCUAGUCCUGAUCUAUAUCUGGCCACAGGACCCAAUGGCUCCGGAGGAGAAAGUGAGCAGGUGACCUUGCACAGCUUUCCACUAAAUCCAAUUCACUUGCAUGUCACAGCAUCACCUCCCUGAUGUCAGGAUCCUCUUUGAGAAUGAAAAACAACCACUACAAUUUUCCUCAAUUUGAAAUUGAACAGUUUUAUUCCUGACUGUCCUGUUUCUGGCUCGGUGUUUUCCACUUCAAACCAUCCAUAGGUUUAGAGACUGGUUCAGGUGCAACUGACCAUCUACAGACUAUAAAGAUUACUUUUCUUGAAAAUUAUUAAUGAGAAGUUUUGCUGUUUAAAAAGGUAAAGUGUCAGCUACCCAGAAAAAUCAGCCCAUCUAAGGGUUCUGAAUUUUACAGUUUUACAGUAUAUAAUUUUCAGUAUCUUUAAUUAAGAGUUUGGAUUCUGCAUCAAUAACAACAAGUUCAUCAUUAUGUAACAUUUUGUAAACAUUCUUUCAAACAAAUUAAAGAAUGGAGUAUUCCAUUUGGAAUCAGAAAACUAGUAUCAUUGCUGAUGUCCUUUGUAAUGUUGAAAAAUAUUUAUUUUUAUUCUUGUCAAUGAAAACAAAUCUAACUUGCUUCUAAUUAUAAACUGGUUUGAAGAUAUCAAAUAAUUUCUCAAUAUGUUGAUCUCUUUAGAGAAGAAUUACUAAUUAAUGCUAUAAUUCACAAAAUUCUAAUAAACCAACUUGAUACAAUAUUCAAUAUAGAUGCAAUACAGAUACGAUUUAUAUAAUUUUAAAUGAACACCUAAAACAUGUUAUGGAGUGUGUGUAUGUGUAUACACACAUACACACUUUUCACAUCUAUAGUCAAGAAUGGGGGAGGAAGAGGAAAAGGGAGGAGAAAGAAAUGCAUUAAUUAAAAUCUUGCAGAAUGUCAGUUUUGUGCUUAUGAUUACUAAAGUGUUAUAUCUAAUAAGAGUUUGAGCAAACUGUGAUGGGCUUGGUUCUUUCAACAAUGAGGUGGAUUCAAGGAAAUUUCAAUAAACUUGUGAUGGAAAGAGCUAUCUGGAGAAAGAACUAUGGAGACUGAAUGUGGAUCAAAGCAUGAUGAUGUUUUCACCUUUUUUUGGUGGUGAUGUUUUGUUGCUUGUUUUUUUUUUUUUUUUCUUUCUCAUGUUCUCCCCUUCCCCCUUUUUGGUCUGUUUUUUUUUUUUUUUUUUACACAGUAUGACAACUAUGUAAAUGUUUAGAAGAAUUGCAUAUGUCUAAACUAGAGUGGAUUGCUUGCAGUCUAGGGGAGAGAAGUGAGAGAGUUGGGAAAGGGAGGGACCUUUUGCAAAAAUGAAUGUUGAAAAUUAUUUUGGCAUUUUUUUUGAAAAAUAAAAAGCUAUUUUUAAAAAAGAAGUUUUCAUAUUUCAAAAUUUAAAAAAAGUUAUGAUAAAGAGUACACAUCAGAAGAAAAACAAAUUAAGAUUGGAACUAUCACGAGUGGAUCUGGAAUACAAUACACAUACUUCAUUUCACUUUAAUAAGCAUCAUGUAGAAACACUGUCUCCUCUUUCUCCACCCUCACCAUCUUCAAUUCUAGGUAACCUCUGCUAUCCAAUUUCUCCAUUCCUACCGCUUCCUUGGUUGCUGAGCAUCAUUGUAGAAAAUCACAAAGUUGAGUCCAUUUCAAAUAGUACAAAUUUAUUAUAAGAAAACCUUUGGUAAUUCCCCAAGUGCUACUUCUCUCUACUCUUACUGACUCCCUAUUUCACUCUCCAAAUAAUUACUACAAAAUCGAUAGUUUCCAACUUUAUUCCCACAAAUGAUAUUGCCUCUUACUUUACAAAGACUGAAGUUAUUUUUCUGACAACAAUUUUCUCAACUUCUCUCCAUGAAGCCUUUCAGCUUCAUUUCCAACUGUCUCUUCCUUAUUUCUUGUCUCAGUGGAAUAGAUAACGCCUUCUAUUCCUUAACAAAAAUCAACCUACCUGUGCCCUACAUUGUUUCCUCAGCCAAGACUUUAUAAAUCAUCCUACUUGCCUCAAAUCUCCCUCCAAGUACCCUUAUCUCACUAUUCCUUAACAUCUUCUUAUAAACAAACUCUCAAUUCUUCACUUCUAAAAAGCACCUUUUCCUCAGCUUUCUACUUCAUUAAAUUUCCAUUCUUUUUCUUUCCAUUCCCUGCCAGACUUUUAAAUUCCAAAGUGUCAAAUUAGUCUCUUCAAUCACUGGUAACCUCUUCAUUUAGGAUUGUGUAAUUUUUUGCAAUCUGUUUUUUCCUCUAUGAUUCUAAUGAAAUUGCUUUUCUCAAAGGUUACCAACUACCUUCUUAUUCCUUAAUCAUAUGGCUUUUUUUCAUGUCUCUUGACCUCUCCAGCAUGUAAAAGUACUGAGGUUUAACAAUCUUCCCUUAUUUUCUGAUUUCACACUUCCUUGGUUUCCUCAAUCUCUUUAAUCCACUUGUGUUUCACUCUCUUUCUCUGGAGUCCCUAAAAUAGAUCUCAAAGAUUCUGUCUGUAGUUCUCUUCUCUUUAUGUGAAUAUGCCAUCUUCCCUUGACAAUCACAUUCACUCCCACAUCUUCAAUGACCUUCAAUGUCUUCUAUCAAGACAAUGUUAUUUCUCUGUCCCAUCUCUCUUUUUAUGGGCUAGUCAUUUUGCCUGAAAUAUUCUCCCUCCAUAUGAUAUUUAUAUUUCAUUUCUGCCUCCCAUUUUUCCUUUCCCAGAAACAAAAAUCCUCUAGCUUUAAAACAUAUGUCCAUUUUACAUUUCUACUGGAGAAGUAAAGAAAAAGCACACCACAAAAUUCUAGUUCUUUCUCUGCUUCUUUUGUCUAGCAUGCCUUUUCUGGAAUAGUCCAUGCUUCAAAGCCCCACUGUAAACAUUUCCACACUCAAUGUAUUUGUGCCAAUAGUUUCUUCCUAGUAUAUAACCCAAGAUGUGGGUAACUUUCAAAAUAAAUCCAUGAUCCUGGCCUAUUUUACUAAGGGGCCUGGUCUUUAAAUGUUUUAGGAUGAUUUGUACACAAAUCUGUUCACACAGUUUCAGUCAUAAAUGCUUUAUUUGGGGAAGGGUCAUCUCUAAUCCCAGUGUGGAGGAUUAACAUCUCCAAUACUCACAAAUAGGUAUAAUACAAUGUAGAAGGUGAUAAAAGGCAAAGGAACUAAGCAGUUAAUUGUCUAUUUCUGGAAUGUAUUCCCAGGUGAGAAGAACUAGCAACUGACUCAUGACUUAGUUUAGCUUUGCUACAAUACAUACAUAGUACUUUAAGGAUUACGAAGUGCUUUACAAAUAUUCUCUCAUUUGACCCUCACAACAAACCCAGGAGAUAGAUGUUUCCCAAAGCUCUCUCCCCCCACAAUCUGGAAAAAAAAUUUUUUCCCAUCUUGAAUUUUUCUAUAACAUUUUGUCUGAAUCUCUCCUUUGUUCCUACAUUGUAAAAUGUAUCAUUUAUUUAUAUAUACAAAGUCAGAAAAUCCUGGAUUUGGAAUUCAGAUCUAGGUUUGAAUAUUAGUGCCACUAUAACAUAAUGGCAUGGCUAUUUUCUUAGAUAAGGCAAAAUUCUGAGGACAUGCCCAGGAUUAUAUAUUUCAGAGGUAAAUGGAAUCCAUGAAUAUUUCUGACCAAAAGAUGGGCAUAAUCUCACGCCAUGGAAAAAUUGUCAGCUGUAUGAGAAAGGACUAGAGAAGAAAAGGAAUGACAACUAUGAAUCCAAUUAGGAAGCUAUCACAGUCCAGGUAAGAGCCCACAAGGAGACUAAACAGAAAAUAAAGAUAACUCAGUCUUUUCCUUGUUCUCUACAUCUUAAUGUUGCUUUUUAGUUUAUAGAGAGAAUGAGAGGGAUUUAAAAGAUGUUUAGCUCAUACAGUCCUUUUUUUUUUUUAAUUUUAUUUUAUUUUAUAAUAACUUUAUAUUGACAGAAUCCAUGCCUGGGUAAUUUUUUAACAACAUUAUCCCUUGCACUCACUUCUGUUCUGAUUUUUCCCCUUCCUCCCUCCCUCCACCCCUCCCCUAGAUGGCAAGCAGUCCUAUAUAUGUUAGAUAUGUUGCAGUAUAUCCUAGAUACAAUAUAUGUUUGCAGAACCGAACAGUUCUCUUGUUGCACAGGGAAAAUUGGAUUCAGAAGGUAAAAAUAACCCGGGAAGAAAAACAAAAAUGCAAAUAGUUCACAUUCGUUUCCUGUAAUGGGCUAAGGCUUGAGUUGAUGCACUGAGGUCCCAAGCACAUGAGGCUAAAUAGUAACUGGACCAUACUCUAUUAAUAUAUAUGCUUGGAGAAAGAAUGGCCCCCGCCCACUCUUUGUGCAAGUCCUGAUGUGUUGUAUAGGAAAUGACGAUUUUGGUGGGUGGAAGCAAGGGAGUGGAAAAGGAAGGGGAAGGAGAGAUUGCUUGCAUUGCCAUUGCAACUACUUUUCAGCUCAGAUCCCCCUCUGUUAGCUGGCUUCCUGUCGCAGCUGCCCAUAUUGCUAUCGCAAUCUUUCUUGCCCAUAUUGCUAUCACAAUCCUUAUUCACCUCUUCACUUCAAUAAAGAUUGAAGAUUUUUCCCUUAACCUGAAUUCCUGACUCCGGCUGAUUUUAAAUACGCGGUCAUUACAGUUUCCCAGUGUUCUUUCUUUGGGUGUAGCUGCUUCUGUCCAUCAUUUAUCAACUGAAACUCAGUUAGGUCUCUUUGUCAAAGAAAUCCACUUCCAUCAGAAAACCUCCUCAUACAAUAUCGUUGUUGAAGUGUAUAAUGAUCUCCUGGUUGUGCUCAUUUCACUUAGCAUCAGUUCAUGUAAGUCCAAGCCUCUCUGUAUUCAUCCUGCUGGUCAUUUCUUACAGAACAAUAAUAUUCCAUAACAUUCAUAUACCACAAUUUACCCAGCCAUUCUCCAAUUGAUGGGCAUCCAUUCAAUUUCCAGUUUCUAGCCACUACCAACAGGGAUGCCACAAACAUUUUGGCACAUACAGGUCCCUUUCCCUUCUUUAGUAUCUCUUUGGAGUAUAAGCCCAGUAGUUAGCUCAUGCAAUCCUAACUGGGUAAAUUCUUUUAUUUCAUUUCAAUCAGGUCUUCAAUGCAGAAAGGCAGUCCUUUAAUGCCCACUCUCCUGGGGAUUGUUCCACACUUUCUCUUUUUUCAAACUUUCCACUUCACCCUCUCCUUCAAUUCUGUCAAAAGAAGAAUUUAGAGUACAAUUGACUCAGAAAAUAAAGAUAACUCAGUCUUUUCCUUGUCCUCUACAUCUCAAUGUUGCUUUUUAGUCAUUAUCACUCAAGUUUUCCUGACUCCAGGCAAGCAAUUUGAGAUGUUAUAUAUACAAAGACAGUCAUGCAUAACAUGCAUAACACUUCCCCUGUUGUGAAAGAAAACACAAAAAAAAAGUUAAAAAAAAAAAAGUAAUACUUGAUCUGCAUUCAAACUGUUGUUUCAUUUUUAAAAUAAAAUUUUCAGAAUUGUUUUUGACCACUGUAUUACUGAAAAUUGCUCUCAUUCAAAAUUUUACCAUCAUAUUGUUAAGGUAUAAAAUGUUCUGGUUCUAGUCAUUUCACUUAACAUCAGCUCAUCUAAGUCCAGGUUUUUCUGAGAGCAUCCUACUCAUCAUUUCUUAUAGUACAAUAGUAUUCCAUCACAAUCGUGUAUUAUAAUUUCUUCAACUAUCCCCCAGUUAAUGGAUGUCCCUUCAAUUUCUAAUUCUUUGCAAUCAUUAAAAGAGCAGCUAUAAAUAAUUUUGUAGAGGUCCUUCUUUUGUUUUUUUAUCUUUUUUGGGAUACCAACCUAGAAGUAGUAUUGCUCGAUCAAAGAAUAUACAUGGUUUUAUAACCCUUUGGGCAUAGUUCCAAACUGUUCUACAGAAUGAUUUAAUCAAUAUACAACUUCAAUUUCCCUACCUCCCCUCCAAUAUGUCAUUUUUCUUUUCUGUCAUAUUAGUCAAUCUGAUGAGUGUGGAGUGGUACCUCAGUUAUUUUAAUUUGCAAUCUCUACUAUAAUGACUAUAAUUAGACCAUUUUUUCUUUUUUCUUUCAGGAGUCUUUUAAAAAAUUUUCUUUUAUUAUAACUUUUUAUUGACAGAACAUAUGCAUGGGUAAUUUAAAUGGUAUUUAAGAUAAAUACAAUAUAUGUGUUCAUAUUUAUACACACACACACACACACACUCUCUUGUUGCACAAGAAAAAUUGGAUUUAGAAGAAAAACAAAAAUGCAAGCAGUUCACAUUCUUUCCCCAGUGUUCUUUCUCUAGGUGUAGCUGGUUCUGUCCAUCAUUGAUCAAUUGGAACUGAAUCGGAUCUUCUCAUUGUCGAAGAUAUCCACUUCCAUCUGAAUAUAUCCUCAUAUAGUAUUGUUGUUGAAGUAUAGAAUGAUCUCCUGAUUCUACUCAUUUCACUUACAUGCUCUGCAUUUAAGUGUUUUGCUUGUGACUUUUGCCUCCCAUAAUCUGCUCUUCAUUAUAUCCCCUCUGCCCCAUAAAUUUCUAUGCCCAACUGAAUUUUCUUUUAUUCCUUCUUUAAGGCAAUUCUAGUGAAAGGUUCAUAUGCUCCCUGUUACCUUCCCCAUGUUUCCAUCCAUUGUAAAAGCUUGCAUGCCUCUUUUAUGUCAAACGAUUUAUUCUAUUUCUCUUUUCUGCUUUUUUCAGUCUAUUUUUUUCUUACCAUUUAAUUUUACUUUAAGAUAAUUAUCCCAUCAUAUUCAACUCACAUUCAUACCUACUGUCUCUGUAUGUUUUUCUGUUCCAAUAAUGACAUCUAUUUAGGAGUUACAAAUAUCAUUUUUCCCAGUAGGAAUAUAAACAGUUUAACCUUAUUAAAUGCCUUAAGAUUUCUUUUUCCUAUUUUAUCUUUUUAUGCUUCUCUUGAGUCAUAUUUGAAAGCCAAAUUUUCUAUUCAAAUUCUGGUCUUUUCAUCAGGAAUACUUAAAAGUCCUUGUUGUCAUUGGAUAUUUUCUUUUUACCCCGUGAGGCUUAUAGUUUUUCUGGGCAGCAUGAUUCUUAUUUCGUAAUUCUUGUUCUUUUGCCCUCUGGAAUAUCAUAUUCCAAGCCCUUCAAUUCUUUAAUGUAGAAACUGCUAAAUCUUGUGUUAUUUUGGCUUCAUUAUAUUUGAAUUGAGUUUUUGGGUUUUUUUUGGGUUGUUGUUUUUUGGCUGCUUGCCAUCCUUGACCUGGAAGUUCUGAAAUUUAGCUAUAAUAUUUUUGGGAGUUUUCACUUUAGGGUCUCUUUUAGGAGGUGAUUGAUAGAUUUUUUGAAUGUCUAUUUUACCCUCUGAUUCUAGUAUAUUAGAACAGUUUUCCUUGAAAAUUUCUUGAAAGAUGAUAUCUGGGCUCUUUUUUUUUUUUUUUUUUAAUUAUAGCUUUCAAGUAAUCUAAUAAUUCUUAAAUUAUCUCUCCUGAAUCUAUUUUCCAGGUCAGUUACUUUUCCAAAGAGAUAUUUCACAUUUUCUUCUAUUUUUCCAUUCUUUUUUAUUUUGUUUGAUUCUUAAUGUCUAAUGGGGUCAUUAGUUUCCAUUUGGCCAAAACCAA